RNAcentral lists this long non-coding RNA (851 nucleotides) under Salvator merianae (Argentine black and white tegu). RNAcentral's name for it is "lncRNA (ENSSMRG00000002723.1)". Lineage: Eukaryota; Metazoa; Chordata; Lepidosauria; Squamata; Teiidae. The record is from RNAcentral.
GCUUAAAGAGCCAUUUCGGUGGAUUUAUCCUUGCAAUAACAUGCAAUCAGCUCCAGUCAGUUAUGGUGCCGUCUCUGUCAGGGACCACGAUGGUCCCUCUCUGCUCGUCACGGGGAGGUGCUGCAGGCCUCUUAUCGUGCGCGCUGACUUACAAAUGGUUGCCACUGCUGUCAUCAAUUCCACAGCGUGUCCCCCAGCUCCAGCGUAGAGAUAUAAAGGCACGGAAAAGGGAAGCGGGACAGGGGAAGAGAGUCGAGAACAGGCCUCAAAUAUGGAAGCUGUCCGCUUGUUGCUAGCUGUGGCUGUGUUGUCAGCUAGCCUGAGGCCAGGCCAAGGCCUGGAGGAGCCCCUCAGCUCAAAGGAGGCCUUAGUUGAAGAGGCCAACGGAUAUCCAGAGAAGCUCAUAGACUGGAUGCAAGAAGUUGAAGACCAGAAUCCACCAGAGGAGCAUCCUUUGGGUGUCCUGCUCCGCUCCCUGCUCCAUGCGGUUCAGAGACCAGGACGCAGCCCAUCCUUCCUGUUCCAGCCCCAAAGAUUUGGCCGGAAUGCCAGGGGUACUUCCAGUAGCAGUGUCCGAGUCAACCCACGGGCUUGGGAUUCGAUGGCCCCUCAGUUUCUCAGCAUGGCUACUCCACAGCGUUUCGGCAAGAAAAAAUAAAUCCGGAAGAAACAGCACAAAGCCCACCAUGAACUCGUGUCGACUAGAUUCUGCCAAAAUGAGUUAACACAUCUCUCUCUCUGUUUUCCCUGUUUGUGUCUCAUUGCAGUGAUCUGUGACUGCAUUUCUUGUCUGGGGAGAUUACACUUUGCUGUUUGUUAAUAAUAAAAGGCCAUUUCAUCUUGGAAAAUAC